Molecule: ribosomal RNA, 412 nt
Filed under: Roseomonas sp.
Lineage: Bacteria; Pseudomonadati; Pseudomonadota; Alphaproteobacteria; Acetobacterales; Roseomonadaceae
Description: bacterial SSU rRNA
Rfam family: Bacterial small subunit ribosomal RNA
Source: RNAcentral
CCCAGACUCCUACGGGAGGCAGCAGUGGGGAAUAUUGGACAAUGGGCGCAAGCCUGAUCCAGCAAUGCCGCGUGUGUGAAGAAGGUCUUCGGAUCGUAAAGCACUUUCGACGGGGACGAUGAUGACGGUACCCGUAGAAGAAGCCCCGGCUAACUUCGUGCCAGCAGCCGCGGUAAUACGAAGGGGGCUAGCGUUACUCGGAAUUGCUGGGCGUAAAGGGCGCGUAGGCGGCGCUCCAAGUUAGGCGUGAAAGUCCUGGGCUCAACCUGGGAACUGCGCUUAAGACUGGAGUGCUUGAGGAUGGAAGAGGGUCGUGGAAUUCCCAGUGUAGAGGUGAAAUUCGUAGAUAUUGGGAAGAACACCGGUGGCGAAGGCGGCGACCUGGUCCAUUACUGACGCUGAGGCGCGACAG